GGUGCGGCGUCUGCGCAGAAGGUGCUGGACCAGGUCCUAGGUGGAUCGAUCCCUGCUGGUCCGCAAUGUGGGGUGCUGCAGGGUUUUCUGGCGUGGCCCCCAGAAACUAUCACCAGCGCCUUCAGCCUCGGUGCACAGACACUUCAAAUCCAAGCAGCACCUGGAAAUGCUGCCUGCCCCAGGCACCGGGGCCUCACUGGAGGCAAAGCCUUCCAUUCCACAGGACCAGGAACCAGGAGCUAAGGUGUCUGGAGCCCUGAGGAGAGAGGCAGCCAGGAACAGGUCCCUGUGUUUAAUUUGGCUGGGAUAUCAUCUCUUGCAAUGGAGAGUUG
Molecule: long non-coding RNA, 332 nt
Filed under: Cricetulus griseus (Chinese hamster)
Lineage: Eukaryota; Metazoa; Chordata; Mammalia; Rodentia; Cricetidae
Description: lncRNA (ENSCGRG00015029689.1)
Source: RNAcentral